Molecule: ribosomal RNA, 87 nt
Filed under: Salmonella enterica subsp. enterica serovar Typhimurium
Lineage: Bacteria; Pseudomonadati; Pseudomonadota; Gammaproteobacteria; Enterobacterales; Enterobacteriaceae
Description: partial 16S ribosomal RNA
Source: RNAcentral
UUAAUUUGAAGAGAUUGAUCAUGGCUUAGAUUUAACGCUGGCAGCAGGCCUAGCACAUGCAAGUCCAACGGUAACAGGAAGCAGCUU